Mustela putorius furo (domestic ferret) is the source of this 238-nucleotide unclassified non-coding RNA. Its record names the gene 7SK. It matches the Rfam family "7SK RNA". From Rfam's summary of the family: 7SK was discovered as an abundant small nuclear RNA in the mid-70s but a possible function has only recently been suggested. Lineage: Eukaryota; Metazoa; Chordata; Mammalia; Carnivora; Mustelidae. The record is from Ensembl.
AGAUGUGAGGAUGAUCUGGCUGGGACAUCCGUCACCGCAUGGAUCUCGGGGGUUGAUCUGGCUGCUCUGGUUGGCUGGGCAGGGACCCCCUUCCUCCCUCGCUGCUGCACAUGUGUCCCUCCCUAAGCUUUCCCCAAUCAAGACGGGAGGACCGGCCUGCUGUCAAGGGUAUCCGAGGAACUGUGCGUUCUCAAGGCUUAUCCACAUCAGAAUGUGUGUCAGACAUGACUUCUUUUAU